RNAcentral lists this non-coding RNA (24 nucleotides) under Arabidopsis thaliana (thale cress). The record is from RNAcentral. Lineage: Eukaryota; Viridiplantae; Streptophyta; Magnoliopsida; Brassicales; Brassicaceae.
CCAAAUACACUAGAUCUAUGAGCA